CCUACGGGUGGCAGCAGUGGGGGAUAUUGCACAAUGGGGGGAACCCUGAUGCAGCGACGCCGCGUGUGGGAAGACGGUCCUCUGGAUUGUAAACCACUGUCCCCAGGGACGAAAAUGACGGUACCUGGGGAGGAAGCUCCGGCUAACUACGUGCCAGCAGCCGCGGUAAUACGGAGGAUGCGAGCGUUAUCCGGAUUUAUUGGGUUUAAAGGGUGCGUAGGCGGUCCGGAAAGUCAGCGGUAAAAGCCCGGGGCUCAACCCCGGCGAGCCGUUGAAACUGUCGGACUAGAGACGGCGAGAAGUACGCGGAAUGCGCGGUGUAGCGGUGAAAUGCAUAGAUAUCGCGCAGAACUCCGAUUGCGAAGGCAGCGUACCGGCGCCGGACUGACGCUGAGGCACGAAAGCGUGGGUAUCGAACAGGAUUAGAUACCCUGGUAGUC
RNAcentral lists this ribosomal RNA (440 nucleotides) under uncultured bacterium. RNAcentral's name for it is "partial 16S ribosomal RNA". It matches the Rfam family "Bacterial small subunit ribosomal RNA", at positions 338 to 795 of the family's 1533-position model. The record is from RNAcentral.